AAAACAGUUCAUUUUUAUCUCAAAGUAAUUAAUCAACAGAAUGAUGUAUUUAAUGCAGAUGCUAUAUCUUUUGAGAUUGUACGCAGAAUUGGACAGCCAUGUUUAAAAUGCUGACAGGAUUAACAGCCAGAAAAGUGUAGAUAAUGAGACACUGAAUCCAAUGUUGCAUUUUCCAUACAAGAGGAUCUCUAACCCUUUCUCAUAAAAUAUAAGAGUGAAAAUUUCGCCAGAUUUAUAAGUUCUGAUUUGUGAAAGUCUGCAAAUCAAUGAUCUUGAGAUACGCAGAAUUCUGCGAAAAAAUUCCACAUGCCUUGCUACUAGCUUCUAGACCUGGAGGGAUGAUAUGAUAAACCCAGAAUACAAUCACCACUGUUCUGAAAUCAUUUGUUUUCAAACAUUUUUCCAGCAUAUGAAAAUGCAACGGUUAC
Parasteatoda tepidariorum (common house spider) is the source of this 428-nucleotide long non-coding RNA. RefSeq lists it as uncharacterized. The record is from RefSeq and is a predicted model, not a curated record. Lineage: Eukaryota; Metazoa; Arthropoda; Arachnida; Araneae; Theridiidae.